This 79-nucleotide transfer RNA is filed under the name Plutella xylostella (diamondback moth). RNAcentral describes it as "tRNA-Ile". Lineage: Eukaryota; Metazoa; Arthropoda; Insecta; Lepidoptera; Plutellidae. The record is from RNAcentral.
GACCGAAUGGCGUAGUGGUUAGUGACCCUGACUACUGAUACUGAGCCGAUGGUCCCGGGUUCGAUUCCCGGCUGGGGCA